Molecule: non-coding RNA, 651 nt
Organism: Leopardus geoffroyi (Geoffroy's cat)
Lineage: Eukaryota; Metazoa; Chordata; Mammalia; Carnivora; Felidae
Source: the annotation of a RefSeq genome assembly
UGGACACGUGGGAACCCACUCUGACUGAUGCUGGAAAGAAGGGCGGGCCGGUACUAGAAGUAGCUGUGCUGGCUGGAGGUGGCAAUUCUGAAAGUGAUCGUAAUUGUAAUUGGGAGGAACCAUGAGGACAUCCGAGGGGGCUUUCAUCAUGCUCUUGUGGCUGCCGCUGCACUGGCUCAGCCGAGGAGAGAAUGUGGAGCAGAGUCCUUCCACCCUGAGUGUCCAGGAGGGAAACAGCUGUGUUAUCACCUGUAGUUACUCAGACAGUGCCUCAGACUACUUCCCUUGGUAUAAGCAAGAACUUGGAAAAGGUCCCCAGUUCAUUAUAGACAUUCGUUCAAGUGUGGCCAAAAAAGAAGACCAAAGACUCACUGUUUUACUGAAUAAGACGGCCAAGCAUCUGUCCCUGCACAUCGCAGCCGCCCAGCCUGCAGACUCAGCUGUCUACUUCUGUGCAGCAAGUGCACAUUGCGUCCCAGACACCUGCUGCCUGCACCCAAACCUGUGACCGGGCAGCCCCUGUCCUUUGACACAGAACUUCAAGUAGAUCGUUUGUGCUAUUGUUUGCCUGCAGGCGGAAGCUAAUGUGUUAGACAUUAAAGCAUAACUGAAGACAACUGGGAUCGAGAUGACCCAGACAGGGUUAGAACA